GGCGACAUGACCAAGUGGCUAAGGUAGAGGACUGCAACUCCUUCAUCCCCAGUUCGAAUCUGGGUGUCGCCUCCA
This 75-nucleotide transfer RNA is filed under the name Clostridium botulinum. Its description in RNAcentral is "tRNA-Cys". It matches the Rfam family "tRNA". Rfam says of the family: Transfer RNA (tRNA) molecules are approximately 80 nucleotides in length. Their secondary structure includes four short double-helical elements and three loops (D, anti-codon, and T loops). RNAcentral also lists the same sequence under 20 other names. Lineage: Bacteria; Bacillati; Bacillota; Clostridia; Eubacteriales; Clostridiaceae. The record is from RNAcentral.